This is a long non-coding RNA of Esox lucius (northern pike), 2264 nucleotides long. The record is from Ensembl. NCBI's taxonomy places the organism in Eukaryota, Metazoa, Chordata, Actinopteri, Esociformes, Esocidae.
GCACAGUUACUCUAGUUAGUUAACAGAACUCAAUAUGUGAGGUCAUGUUAAGUUAGAAGACAGGAAAGAGAGGGAGGUUUCAUCAGACAGGCAGAAAGACAGACAGAAAGGUAGACAGACAAGCAGGAAGGCAGGCAGACAAGAUGUUUCCAUACAUGUUCAAAUGUAUGUAAACAUUCUGUAUAUGGUAUGUAUUCUAAUUCUAAAUGUUUUCUACACCUGGCAGCACCGAUCCACCAUGUAAAGAUUAAUGAGUAUGUGGAAAUGUACUCAAAUAAAGCUUAUUCAGACAGACAGACAGACAUGUAGCAUGGAGACGGGAUCACGGGUCUGUGUAGAACCAGGGGACGGAGUGUUUGAAUGCAGCACACAUCAGCAUAUAGCAAUGUUGUUGACUGCUAGUGAGGUUGUUCAAUAUGAGGCCUCUGGACACAGAUGUGGCUUGUUCACUUAGUUGAAAGUACAAGAGCAGGACAUUAUUUAGUGAUUUUAGCUUAAAAAACAUGCAAAUUUCACUUGUAACAAAUUCAAAAAACUGUUAUGAUUGGAUUCAUCAGAGGAUUCCUGUGCAUCUUCAGUUUUUCAAAUGAUUGUCACAUGAUACCAAAUGUGUUUGGUUAUUCGGAGAGGACAUUUACAUGUUAUGAUUGUUGACAAAAAAAGGCUGCUUUCAUACUUAAAUACACAAGGAAGACUGUUUCUAUUCAGAACAUUCAGUGCAUUUCAAACUGGACAUCAUCCACAAAGUGACAGCAUCAGCUUAAAUUAUUUACACUUGAAAUAUCUUCAUGUAUAUUGUAUGUCUAAUACCUUCAUGUGUGGGUUCAAUAUCUGCUGAUAUGAAAUGUGGAGAAUGUAAGGCACUACUAAACAGUAUUAUACAAAGAAAUGGACAAUAACAGGACAAUGUAUGCUAUCUGAUGAAUCCAUCAACGCCACUUUUGUCAUGCAUGUUUUCAACAUGUAUUAUUGCUUAUUGUUAUAUAAUAGAGAGCAUCUACUUUAUUAUUUUUGUUAUACAGAGAGGUUCUAUUGGUCAUGCCUGUUAUAUAGAGAUAUUCUGUUGGUUAUUGACAUUAUCUAGGGAGUACAGCUUCUAUUGGUCAUCGCCGUUAUAUAGAUGACAGCUUCUAUUGGUCAUGGCCAUUAUAUAGAGGGGAGCUUCUAUUGGUCAUGGCGGUUAUAUAGAAGAGAGCUUCUAUUGGUCAUGGCCAUUAUAAAGAGAGCUUUUAUUGUUUAUUGUCUUUAUAUAGGGAGUAGAGUUUCAAUUGGUCAUGGCCGUUAUAAAGAGGACAGCAACUAUAAUUUAUGGCCGUUAUUUAGAGGAGAGCAUCUAUAGGCCAUGGCUGUUCUUUAAAGAGCAUCUAUAGAUCAUGGCCAUUAUAUAGAUCAGAGCAUCUAUUAGUCACAGUAGCAGCCAAAAGUUAUUGCUCUAUUUUAUGUGUACAUUAGACAUUACAUUAUAAUAAUUGAAUAGACUUAUUCAGAGCAACAUUUAGGAGCAAAUGGGGUUUAUAGAGUUGCUCAAGGCCACCAUGUAAAAUUAUCAAUUCAUCAACAUUUGAAACUGCACACUAUUCCCCCUGUAAGUGCACAACUUUUGAACAGAGUCUUCUGGGCUAGUUCAUUAUUAAGGGAAUAGGAAACCAUUAAGGACAGAUCCAUUGCCUCCUUUGACAUCAGCAGAGUCCUCUACGAUCUACAAUCCUCCAUGACACCUAUAGCAUGCUCUGGGACCAUCAAUAUUUAAGUGACUAAGGAGAAGGGAGGAAGUGGCAUGACAUUGCAUUCAUUCUUGGACUUGUGUAAAUGGUGCUGAACACACGCAGUAAAAGGAGGAAUUUCGAUGUUAAAUGUGGAUAAAUACUAGAUCUCUGAUUAGGAUGUAUCACUGCAUAUGGAUACAUACUAGAUCUCUGAUUAGGAUGUAUCAUUCCAUAUUGAUAAAUACUUGAUCUCUGAUUAGGAUGUAUCACUGCAUAUGGAUACAUACUAGAUCUCUGAUUAGGAUGUAUCACUGCAUAUGGAUACAUACUAGAUCUCUGAUUAGGAUGUAUCACUGCAUAUGGAUAAAUACUAGAUCUCUGAUUAGGAUGUAUCACUGCAUAUUGAUAAAUACUAGAUCUCUGAUUAGGAUGUAUCACUGCAUAUGGAUAAAUAGUAGAUCUCUGAUUAGGAUGUACCACUGCAUAUGGAUAAAUACUAGAUCUCUGAUUAGGAUGUAUCACUGCAUAUGGAUAAAUAGUAGAUCUCUGAUUAGGAUG